This 467-nucleotide ribosomal RNA is filed under the name uncultured bacterium. RNAcentral's name for it is "bacterial SSU rRNA". It matches the Rfam family "Bacterial small subunit ribosomal RNA", at positions 8 to 469 of the family's 1533-position model. The record is from RNAcentral.
AGAGUUUGAUCCUGGCUCAGAUUGAACGCUGGCGGCAUGCCUUACACAUGCAAGUCGAACGGCAGCACGGGAGCAAUCCUGGUGGCGAGUGGCGAACGGGUGAGUAAUAUAUCGGAACGUGCCCUGUCGUGGGGGAUAACGCAGCGAAAGCUGUGCUAAUACCGCAUACGAUCUCUGGAUGAAAGCGGGGGACUCGCAAGGGCCUCGCGCGAUUGGAGCGGCCGAUAUCAGAUUAGCUAGUUGGUGGGGUAAAAGCCCACCAAGGCGACGAUCUGUAGCUGGUCUGAGAGGACGACCAGCCACACUGGAACUGAGACACGGUCCAGACUCCUACGGGAGGCAGCAGUGGGGAAUUUUGGACAAUGGGCGCAAGCCUGAUCCAGCAAUGCCGCGUGCAGGAUGAAGGCCUUCGGGUUGUAAACUGCUUUUGUACGGAACGAAACGGUCCUUUCUAAUACAAGGGGCUA